Long non-coding RNA from Musca domestica (house fly), 2852 nucleotides. RefSeq lists it as uncharacterized. Lineage: Eukaryota; Metazoa; Arthropoda; Insecta; Diptera; Muscidae. The record is from RefSeq and is a predicted model, not a curated record. The transcript has 5 exons.
AUAUUUUAGUUUUUCCAGCAGGAGAGAAUGGUUGCCCUUAACCUGUAUGUGGCUGUGAGUCUCAACCAUAUCGGGAUUCCAUGGAGCGGUUCACGUCUUUGAUCUAUAGGCUCUCUCCCUCUUGUUGCUUUGGACGUUCAUCUCUAGAUCAUGUUACCUUCUAACCGGGGAAAAAUAUCUUGCACAAUGACAAAGUGAAAAAAUACGCGCUAAACCGAUCCGUUCGAUUAGCCCAGCUGAUAUCAUUCUGUCAAAAUACAUUUGUUUACAUUUGGACGUCGCCGUAAAAUACUGGUUACUGGUUACUUUUUCUGCUGGAAUUGUUCAUAAUAUAUUUUAGAUCAACUCUUAGUGAAGCAGUGGGUAAAACGAUGAGAACCGCUUUUCAAGGCCAAAUCAAACCUACUUGUCAAAUGAAUUCAUGAAGAAAUACCUAUAGCGACAAUUCCGAAAAGCAUAAUACACACCUUCUUAAUUUUUAUAUUUUCAACCCGUGCAUUUGGUGACAUUUGGCCAUUCGAGUCUUCAUUUUUAUCAAAGUGACGAAGAAACGGAGGCGGGAAGAAUGUAAAUGCAAGGCUAAGAACGAGGAAGCGAAUAGCAGAGAAGAACAAAAAGAAACGGUGGAACAGAAAUUCUACGACGGGAAACGAAAAGAUGACGAAGAAAUCGUCCAAAAAUAAAAAUAAUAAAAUUAAAAAUUGAGUAACAUUGAAGAUGACUGACUCCCUGAGAAAAAGAAAUGAGAGCAGACGGCUGAGCGGCCUAGAAAAGGUGUUUAAUAUAAAUCUAGCAACAUUAAAUGAAAUGAUGGUACGAAGAAGAGUGCUCAAAAGAUGAGCUCUUGUUGAGGAGAAGAAUCGAACGAAACGAAAUGGAGAGAAGAAUGCCAAUGCAUUAAGACGGCUAAGAACGAGGAUGCGAAUAGAAGAUGAGAAUAAACAGAAAAGGUGUUUCAUAUAAAUCUAGCAACAUUAAAUGAAGUGAUGGUACGAAGAAAAGUGCUCAAAAGAUGAGCACUUGUUGUGGAGAAGAAUCGAACGAAACGAAAUGGAGAGAAGAAUGCCAAUGCAUAAAGACGGCUAAGAAUGAGGAUGCGAAUAGAAGAUGAGAAAAAACAAAACGGAGAAAGUUAAAUACCCACGACGGGAGACGAAAAGACGACGAAUCAGCGGAAAUAUGACAGAGAAAACAUCCAAAGAAUAAAUAGAAUAAUAACAUUGAAGAUGACAGACUCCCUGAGGGAAAAAAUGAGAGUUGACGGUUGAGCGAUCUAUAAAAUAUGUUUCAAAUAAUUUUGGUAAUAUUAAAUGAAAUGAUGGAUUCAGAAGAAUGCUAAACAAAUUAGAAUGAUAGGAACAUCAAGCGAAACGAAAUAGAGAAAGAAGGUGUAAUGAACGAGGUUGCAGAAUAUAUUUCCGAGUUAAUACAAUUCGAUUUUCUAAAAAAGCAGAGAAGAGUUAUGGAUGCUUAAGUGUCCCCGAAGGGAAAGGAAAAGUCUACGACCCAGCGGAAUAAUGACAUCCAAAUAUAAUAAUAUAAAUUUUUUUCUCAACAAAACACAGCUUAGAAAAGAAAAACAACAUUGAUGAUGACUGACUUCCUGAGAAAGAUUGGAACAUAAAAUUUGGAAGCUGCUGAAAAGAGUCAACGAAAUCCAGAAAGAAGGAAUAAUAAACGAGAUUGCGGACUAUAUUGCCGAGUUAACAGAUAUCUUUAAGCUUAAAGUGCCACAAAUGCGGCAGAUUUUAAGAAGAGCAGGCCAAUGCAUCUCUUCAAGAUGGCCAUGUCGAUUAUUCCGCAAAUUUGGAUUAACAGAAUUUGAUUUUUUAAAAAUGCAGUGAAGUAUUUGGGAAGCUUUAUAUGCUAUAGAAGCGCUAGAGUUUAAGAAGGGCAGGAUUGCCAAGACAUCUCUUCAAGAUGGGCAUGUCGAUUAUUCCGGAAAUUUGCAUUUGACAUUUAACAUGCGAUUGGAAGGAGGCGCUGAGAAAGCGGCUGAGGAUAAGGUUAGCGGGGUUGCCAAGACAUCUCUUUAAAAUGGCCAUUUCGAUUACUCGGCAAAAUCGGAUUGGAGUGCGGUCCAACGCCAUAAAGUAGCAACAACAAAGGAUGAGAAGAGCUGGAAGAAGGAGGAAUCCACAAUGAAGGAGAACACAACAUUCGGUUAUUCUAAAAAAGACAGCAAGGCAGAAAAGAAUAAUAAAAAGCAGUACAAUACGCAAGCUGACUACAAAAUGCAAAUUGCGGUUAGCGGAUUAUGGACACCCCUCCCCUCCAUUUUGAGAAGAAAUCCAUACCCCUGGAAUAAUAUGUGGUCUUGGUCCUGACUAGCAGAUGGUAUGGAGUCCUUAACUGAUUGCCAUAAAGUUGACAACAAAUUAUGAGCCAAUAAUGGAACCCUCUACUGUCCAGGUGAUCAUCACAUCUCUGUUCACGCUCAUCGUUUUUAGUUUAGCAUAAAUGUAUCUCAACCACACCACUCGACUCCAUUGGGUUCCAUCAAAGUUAGGCAUCAUCUUUAACAUAGCCACACAGACAGACGGACGGACAGACAGUCAGUCCGACAUCAGCCCUGUAGCUAGGGUAAUAUUGAUACAAUCUCAUCUUCACAGUCGAUUAAAGUUGCAUGCAUCAGCAUGCCCAUGCCCGAUGAUUUUCCUAUGAUUUAUAAAUAAUUAAUUAAAUAUGAAAGUAAAUCUUUAAAUCCAAAUAUCAUCCAUCUGCAUAGGAAUGUUCUGCUAACGAAGCAGUUAUACCGAAAUGCUAAAAGUGUGUCUUAUAACUUUUGGCCUGCUGAAGGCAUAAACAAAAGAGAGUGUGUGUGUGUGUUAGUCAGGAUGAAGGUUCUCAAC